GAAAUAAGAGGCCCAUACUUAAGCUGCUAACUCUAAGUAUAAGUGGUUCAACUCCAUUUUUCUUUCU
RNAcentral lists this transfer RNA (67 nucleotides) under Pseudachorutes palmiensis. RNAcentral describes it as "tRNA-Ser". Lineage: Eukaryota; Metazoa; Arthropoda; Collembola; Poduromorpha; Neanuridae. The record is from RNAcentral.